RNAcentral lists this small RNA (75 nucleotides) under Pseudomonas aeruginosa PAK. RNAcentral describes it as "P33 ncRNA". The record is from RNAcentral. Lineage: Bacteria; Pseudomonadati; Pseudomonadota; Gammaproteobacteria; Pseudomonadales; Pseudomonadaceae.
ACCGCCACAGGCGGUAUCCGCCGAUGCCCCGGACAGCCGGCGGAUAACCGCAAGCGGUUAUUCGCCCUACGGAUC